Molecule: unclassified non-coding RNA, 380 nt
Filed under: uncultured Gammaproteobacteria bacterium
Lineage: Bacteria; Pseudomonadati; Pseudomonadota; Gammaproteobacteria
Description: contains 16S-23S intergenic spacer region
Source: RNAcentral
UCGCGGCUUAUCACCGGCAGUCUCCUUAGAGUGCUCAACUAAAUGGUAGCAACUAAGGACGGGGGUUGCGCUCGUUGCGGGACUUAACCCAACAUCUCACGACACGAGCUGACGACAGCCAUGCAGCACCUGUGUUCCCGUUCCCUUUCGGGCACACCCGCCUUUCAGCAGGCUCCAGGACAUGUCAAGGGUAGGUAAGGUUUUUCGCGUUGCAUCGAAUUAAUCCACAUAAUCCACCGCUUGUGCGGGUCCCCGUCAAUUCCUUUGAGUUUUAACCUUGCGGCCGUAGUCCCCAGGCGGUGAACUUAUUGCGUUAGCUGCGACGCUGAAAGGGUCAAAUCUUCCAACAUCUAGUUAUCAUCGUUUACGGCGUGGACUAC